GACCCUGCUGCUGGUUUGUUUCACUACGACAGACUCUGUGUCUGUCUCCCGAGUAAAUAGAAACGCAGAGUAAAUACAGAUACAGAGUAAAUAUGGGUUAUUGUUGUGCAGCUAGCCCUAAACUAGAAAUAUUACUUCAUUACCUUUUGCCAUCCUAACCUUUGUAAAAGGGUCGAAGAGGCAAAAAAAACAUAGCAAUGUCCAAUUACCCUGGUUACCAUAGUUCCCUUUAAGCUAUGCGCAUGUGCGCGCACACACACGUUUUUCAACCAGCGCACAAAGGAAAUUAAUGUGCACACAAAAGUUAUUGGCUCAGCUGCUGCUUAACCAGUUGAUAAAGUGAUGCAGGCACACCAAUGAGGAAAUGACACCUGGGACAAAGUUUUAUUGGACUGAACAUAGUGGAAAACAAAUAAAUGCACAAAAAGGUGACAUGGAUAUGGGGAGGCUUAACCAACCAUAUGUUUGCAAACCCAUUGGGGUCUGAUGUCCCAAGAAUGGCUGGUAUGAGAAACUAAAUAAAACUGCCCUUUGUGGCUCUAACAAGUUUGACGUUGCUGCAUUUCUGACCAUUGCCAUUUCCAGGUCACAGAGCAGCAAGCAACAACAGCUUGAGGCUCACCAAAGUGGACUGGAUAGAACUGUCCCAUGGGCCAGAUCCUGCCAGCCAGCCAUAUGUUGUGCACCAUGAAGUUAUGUGAAACACUUGUCAAACCACACAGCACAGGAGGUUACCAUUGUGCUUGCUAAGAAAUCCAAUUAGUUCCACCCCCUUCUGCUUUUUCCUUAUAACUGUACAUUUCAUUUAGAGUAAAUAUUCGCCACCCUGCUGAAAGUCGUUAAUGAAUCUGUUUAUCAGUCCUGCACUGAGACAAUAACCUACACAAUUCUAAUUAAUUCUCUCGCUUUCACCAAUUACCUUAUGAUACAAACUUCUAGAACCUCCAUUAUUUCUCUGGUACAAUAACAACCUGUAUCUCCUUAAGAGUGUUGAGUAUUGGGUUCCGGUGACAUCAUCUUUCAGAACGGCAGCUUAAAUCAACAGCUCCUCCGGAAAAACACAUAUUUUGCCCCGUUAAUCCAUCAAAUAUAAGAUCUUUCGAAAAUAUCUGAAUUGAUAAGUGGGGCAAGAAUGGGGAGAAAGAAUGGAAAUUUUAAAAAAAACACCACUGCGUAGCCUAUGGAAGAGAGAGGAACAGCGCACGGCACUCCAACAAGUACGCGUGGUGGCGAGGCUAACGCUGGGCCUCAUGCAGGUGAAGCGGUAAAUAUGAUAAGGAGUUUGGAAGAGAUAAGGGAAGUCCAAAAAGAUAUAAAGCAGCAACUAAAUGAUAUAAAGUCAGAGCUUGCCAAUGUCAAUCUGAAAAUAGAGGUGGCAGAUAUUCGAAUUGAGAAGAUGGAAGAUUGUGUGCAAAACGUGGAACAAAUACUAAGAAAGACGAUAAAAAUAUUAAAUCAACAGGAAAGUAAAUUGCUUGACCAGCAGGGAAGAUUGCGACGGCAAAAUAAUCAAGAUUUAUAAUGUUCCCGAAGGAGCGGAGGGAUUGUCGAUGAUAGACUUUGUAGAAAAGCUGUUGCGGGAAGCGCUGGAGAUUCCUCAGACUAUGGAGUUUAAAAUUGAAAGGGUGCACCGUUCGCUUGUCCAGCGGCCUCCCAGCGACAGAGAAGGUAAACCGCGCUCCAUUGUACUUAGAUUCCUUUGAUUCAAGAGCAAGGCAGAGAUUCUACGAAGGGCCUGGGGUAAGAAGAGGGUGUUUUGGAACGGGAAGUUAACAUACUUCGAUCAUGAUUACCCGCACCCCCCCCCCCACCGGUGGUCCUACAGAAAUGGAAGGAAUAUUCCGAAGUAAAACAAAUAUUAAAGCAAGAAAAGAUUAAAUUCCAAACCCCGUACCCGGCUAAACUGAGGGUAUUUUACCAAGAAGGGAUACGACUAUAUCAGACGGUGGAAGAGGCAACUACAGACAUGAACAACAGUGGACUGCCCAUUAGCAUGGUCAAACCAAGGGAAACUCUGGCUGAGCAGUUAUCCCGAACUGCUUGGGAAAUAGUAAGAGAACCUAGAAAGCAGGGGACGGGAACAGGACGAGAGAAGGAUAUUAGGAAGGGACUGUCAGUUCUCCGAGGGCAGCCCUCACCUCCUCCAGAAGAGCCAUAUAAUCUGGCUAACUUUAAAAGUGCUGAUAAACUAAACAGAAGCAAAAAUAGACGGUGAUAUACCUAUCUCGAGAAAUACAUGUUAUAAUGUGGAUUUUUUAUUACUCAAUUUUUAAAAAAAAAAUCAUUUAUUCAUUCCUUUUUCCCCACCUAAAUGAGAAUAUAUACAUGGGAGGAAUACACAGGGAAAUCAUUUCUGUGUAAUGGACACAGUUUUUGUUUAAAUUUACUUUUAUAGGUAAUGCAGCGGGGGCCCUCAACCCACAGGUAGGAGGGGCUAUCCCCCAUGGCUAGAUUUUUCUUCUAGCCCAACCCACGGUCAUCUAGAGACCCCA
This is a long non-coding RNA of Mobula hypostoma (lesser devil ray), 2492 nucleotides long. RefSeq lists it as uncharacterized. NCBI's taxonomy places the organism in Eukaryota, Metazoa, Chordata, Chondrichthyes, Myliobatiformes, Myliobatidae. The transcript is spliced from 3 exons. The record is from RefSeq and is a predicted model, not a curated record.